AAAAAAGCCAAACUCACAGAAACAGAGAACAGACUGGUGAUUGCCAUGGGCAGAGGAGCUGGGGGCAGGGUGCCUAGGGGGGAUGUGUAAAUGGGUGAAGGCGGUCAAAAGGCCUGGGACUUCAGCGAAGGAUGACCUCGGGAACCGUGCGGUGGCCAGCUCUCAAUCUGGCCCUGCACUCAGGGGACCACUGCCGCCCGUCACGUAUGUUAUUGAGAAAAUGUUACCGAGAAACGUGAGAAAAAUGUUGUUCCUGCUCAUCAGCACAAGGACUUCCAGACCUGUCCCGCCAAGCAGCAUCCCCGACGACCGCAGGUUUUCCACUCUGUACGUGGCGCCCUUUCCAAGC
Molecule: long non-coding RNA, 349 nt
Filed under: Equus caballus (horse)
Lineage: Eukaryota; Metazoa; Chordata; Mammalia; Perissodactyla; Equidae
Description: lncRNA (ENSECAG00000049669.1)
Source: RNAcentral